AUGAAGCAGUUCGUGCUGGCGAAGCUCAGAAGCAUCAAGGCCCCCGCCGACGUGCUGGGAGCUGUUGAGAGGAGCGAGAUGAACGACGUCCUCGUGGCGCCGCUGCGGUACCGUCCCCCGCUGUCGCUCCUGUUCGCCAGCAUCAGCAAGAGGAACGUGUGCGUCGCCGGCGACGCGCUCCACCCGACGACGCCGGACCUGGCGCAGGGCGCGUGCGUCGUGCUGGAGGACGCGGUCGUCCUUGCGCGGUGCCUCGGCGACGCCAUCGUCGGGAAGGAACGGGAGUCGGUCGAGGCGGCUCUGCGCCGGUACGCCGGGAUCCGGCGAUGGAGGAGCGCGCAGGUGAUCGCGGCGUCCUAUAUGGUGGGGCUGGUGCAGCAGAGCGAUCACGCCGUGGUGAGGUUUGCACGGGACAGGCUGCUGUCCGGGAUGCUCGCCAAGGGGCUCCUCAUGAUGCCGGAUUAG
Molecule: ribosomal RNA, 465 nt
Filed under: Triticum aestivum (bread wheat)
Lineage: Eukaryota; Viridiplantae; Streptophyta; Magnoliopsida; Poales; Poaceae
Description: partial small subunit ribosomal RNA
Source: RNAcentral